UGCGAGUCGAACGGGCACUUCGGUGCUAGUGGCAGACGGGUGAGUAACACGUGGGAACGUACCUUUCGGUUCGGAAUAAUACAGGGAAACUUGUACUAAUACCGGAUACGCCCUUCGGGGGAAAGAUUUAUCGCCGAUAGAUCGGCCCGCGUCUGAUUAGCUAGUUGGUGAGGUAAUGGCUCACCAAGGCGACGAUCAGUAGCUGGUCUGAGAGGAUGAUCAGCCACACUGGGACUGAGACACGGCCCAGACUCCUACGGGAGGCAGCAGUGGGGAAUAUUGGACAAUGGGCGCAAGCCUGAUCCAGCCAUGCCGCGUGUGUGAUGAAGGCCUUAGGGUUGUAAAGCACUUUUGUCCGGGAAGAUAAUGACUGUACCGGAAGAAUAAGCCCCGGCUAACUUCGUGCCAGCAGCCGCGGUAAUACGAAGGGGGCUAGCGUUGCUCGGAAUCACUGGGCGUAAAGGGCGCGUAGGCGGACUUUUAAGUCGGGGGUGAAAGCCCAGGGCUCAACCCUGGAAUUGCCUUCGAUACUGAGAGUCUUGAGUUCGGAAGAGGUUGGUGGAACUGCGAGUGUAGAGGUGAAAUUCGUAGAUAUUCGCAAGAACACCAGUGGCGAAGGCGGCCAACUGGUCCGAUACUGACGCUGAGGC
This 650-nucleotide ribosomal RNA is filed under the name uncultured bacterium. RNAcentral's name for it is "bacterial SSU rRNA". It matches the Rfam family "Bacterial small subunit ribosomal RNA", at positions 56 to 752 of the family's 1533-position model. The record is from RNAcentral.